ACGUAGGGGGCAAGCGUUGUCCGGAAUUAUUGGGCGUAAAGGGCGCGCAGGCGGCCUCUUAAGUCUGAUGUGAAAUCUUGUGGCUUAACCACAAGCGGUCAUUGGAAACUGAGAAGCUUGAGUGCAGAAGAGGAGAGUGGAAUUCCACGUGUAGCGGUGAAAUGCGUAGAGAUGUGGAGGAACACCAGUGGCGAAGGCGACUCUCUGGUCUGUAACUGACGCUGAGGCGCGAAAGCGUGGGGAGCGAACAGGA
RNAcentral lists this ribosomal RNA (253 nucleotides) under uncultured prokaryote. RNAcentral's name for it is "partial 16S ribosomal RNA". It matches the Rfam family "Bacterial small subunit ribosomal RNA", at positions 525 to 777 of the family's 1533-position model. The record is from RNAcentral.